CGACUAGCUCAUUGGUUAGAGCACGGGACCUUUAAUCUCGCGGUAGUGGGUUCGACUCCCACGUCGA
This 67-nucleotide transfer RNA is filed under the name Sphingomonadales bacterium. Its description in RNAcentral is "tRNA-Lys". It matches the Rfam family "tRNA". From Rfam's summary of the family: Transfer RNA (tRNA) molecules are approximately 80 nucleotides in length. Their secondary structure includes four short double-helical elements and three loops (D, anti-codon, and T loops). Further hydrogen bonds mediate the characteristic L-shaped molecular structure. tRNAs have two regions of fundamental functional importance: the anti-codon, which is responsible for specific mRNA codon recognition, and the 3' end, to which the tRNAs corresponding amino acid is attached (by aminoacyl-tRNA synthetases). tRNAs cope with the degeneracy of the genetic code in two manners: having more than one tRNA (with a specific anti-codon) for a particular amino acid; and 'wobble' base-pairing, i.e. permitting non-standard base-pairing at the 3rd anti-codon position. Lineage: Bacteria; Pseudomonadati; Pseudomonadota; Alphaproteobacteria; Sphingomonadales. The record is from RNAcentral.